CCAAGGAAGAGAAAUUGUUAGAGGAAAGAGGCACCCCAGUAAGACCAAGAACAGUUAGGACAUAUGUUGAUACAAUACAAAAAUGUAGCCCAUGGCUUUUUAAAGAUGAGUUAUUAAGUAUAUUAAUGGGACCAUCAUGGUAUCCUGUAGAAGGAUUUUUCUUCAACAAGAAAGAGAUAGCUAAUUCUGUUUACUACACUUGUAUAAGAUCUUGGUUUUUACAGACAUCUGAU
RNAcentral lists this long non-coding RNA (233 nucleotides) under Marmota monax (woodchuck). The record is from RNAcentral. Lineage: Eukaryota; Metazoa; Chordata; Mammalia; Rodentia; Sciuridae.